Molecule: ribosomal RNA, 1073 nt
Filed under: gut metagenome
Description: bacterial SSU rRNA
Rfam family: Bacterial small subunit ribosomal RNA
Source: RNAcentral
AGAGUUUGAUCCUGGCUCAGAUUGAACGCUGGCGGAACGCUUUACACAUGCAAGUCGAACGGUAACGCGGAGAGAAGCUUGCUUCUCCCCGGCGACGAGUGGCGAACGGGUGAGUAAUACAUCGGAACGUGUCCGCUCGUGGGGGACAACCAGCCGAAAGGUUGGCUAAUACCGCAUGAGUUCUACGGAAGAAAGAGGGGGACCCGCAAGGGCCUCUCGCGAGCGGAGCGGCCGAUGACUGAUUAGCCGGUUGGUGAGGUAACGGCUCACCAAAGCAACGAUCAGUAGCUGGUCUGAGAGGACGACCAGCCACACUGGGACUGAGACACGGCCCAGACUCCUACGGGAGGCAGCAGUGGGGAAUUUUGGACAAUGGGCGCAAGCCUGAUCCAGCUAUUCCGCGUGUGGGAUGAAGGCCCUCGGGUUGUAAACCACUUUUGUAGAGAACGAAAAGACACCUUCGAAUAAAGGGUGUUGCUGACGGUACUCUAAGAAUAAGCACCGGCUAACUACGUGCCAGCAGCCGCGGUAAUACGUAGGGUGCGAGCGUUAAUCGGAAUUACUGGGCGUAAAGGGUGCGCAGGCGGUUGAGUAAGACAGAUGUGAAAUCCCCGAGCUUAACUCGGGAAUGGCAUAUGUGACUGCUCGACUAGAGUGUGUCAGAGGGAGGUGGAAUUCCACGUGUAGCAGUGAAAUGCGUAGAUAUGUGGAAGAACACCGAUGGCGAAGGCAGCCUCCUGGGGCAUAACUGACGCUCAGGCACGAAAGCGUGGGGAGCAAACAGGAUUAGAUACCCUGGUAGUCCACGCCCUAAACGAUGUUAACUAGUUGUUGGGAAGUAAAAUUCUCAGUAACGCAGCCAACGCGAGAAGUUAACCGCCUGGGAAGUACGGUCGCAAGACUAAAACUCAAAGGAAUUGACGGGGACCCGCACAAGCGGUGGAUGAUGUGGAUUAAUUCGAUGCAACGCGAAAAACCUUACCUACCCUUGACAUGUCAGGAAGCUCUUGUAAUGAGAGUGUGCCCGCAAGGGAGCCUGAACACAGGUGCUGCAUGGCUGUCGUCAGCUCGUG